This 464-nucleotide ribosomal RNA is filed under the name uncultured bacterium. RNAcentral describes it as "bacterial SSU rRNA". It matches the Rfam family "Bacterial small subunit ribosomal RNA", at positions 331 to 792 of the family's 1533-position model. The record is from RNAcentral.
CCAGACUCCUACGGGAGGCAGCAGUGAGGAAUAUUGGUCAAUGGGCUUACGCCUGAACCAGCCAAGUCGCGUGAGGGAAGACUGCCCUAUGGGUUGUAAACCUCUUUUGUCAGGGAGCAACGCCGGCUACGUGUAGCCGGACUGAGAGUACCUGAAGAAAAAGCAUCGGCUAACUCCGUGCCAGCAGCCGCGGUAAUACGGAGGAUGCGAGCGUUAUCCGGAUUUAUUGGGUUUAAAGGGUGCGCAGGCGGAUUUUUAAGUCAGCGGUCAAAUCGUGGGGCUCAACCCCAUCCAGCCGUUGAAACUGGGGAUCUAGAGUGUGCGAGAGGUAUGCGGAAUGCGUGGUGUAGCGGUGAAAUGCAUAGAUAUCACGCAGAACCCCGAUUGCGAAGGCAGCAUACCGGUGCACAACUGACGCUCAGGCACGAAAGCGUGGGUAUCGAACAGGAUUAGAUACCCCCGUA